This 335-nucleotide ribosomal RNA is filed under the name uncultured soil bacterium. Its description in RNAcentral is "bacterial SSU rRNA". It matches the Rfam family "Bacterial small subunit ribosomal RNA", at positions 26 to 391 of the family's 1533-position model. The record is from RNAcentral.
AGAACGAACGCUGGCGGCAGGCCUAACACAUGCAAGUCGAGCGGACCCUUCGGGGUUAGCGGCGGACGGGUUAAUAACGCGUGGGAACGUACCCUUCUCUAUGGAAUAGCCUCGGGAAACUGAGAGUAAUACCAUAUACGCCCUUAGGGGGAAAGAUUUAUCGGAGAAGGAUCGGCCCGCGUUGGAUUAGGUAGUUGGUGGGGUAAUGGCCUACCAAGCCGACGAUCCAUAGCUGGUUGAGAGGAUGAUCAGCACACUGGGACUGAGACACGGCCCCAGACUCCUACGGGAGGCAGCAGUGGGGAAUCUAGACAAUGGGGGAAACCCUGAUCUAG